This 1638-nucleotide long non-coding RNA is filed under the name Nothobranchius furzeri (turquoise killifish). RNAcentral's name for it is "lncRNA (ENSNFUG00015011961.1)". Lineage: Eukaryota; Metazoa; Chordata; Actinopteri; Cyprinodontiformes; Nothobranchiidae. The record is from RNAcentral.
CACCAUCACCAUUAUCACCAUCAUCAUUAUCACCAUCAUCAUCAUUAUCACCAUAACCAUUAUCAUCAUCACCAUUACCAUUUUCAUCAUCACCAUUAUCAUCACCAUCAUCAUUAUCAAUAUCAUGGUCACAUCACCAUCAUCAUUAUCAUUAUCACCAUCAUCAUUAUCACCAUCACCAUCAUCAUUAUCAUCAUCACCAUCAUCAUUAUCAUUAUCACCAUCAUCACGAUCACCAUUAUCAUCUUCGCCAUUAUCAUUUUCAUCAUCACCAUUACCAUCAUCAUUAUCAUCAUCAUCACUAUCACUAUCAUCAUUAUCAGCACCAUCACCAUCAUCAUUAUCAUCGUCACCAUCACCAUAAUCAUUAUCAUUAUCAUCAUCAAGAACACCAUCAUCACCAUCAUCAUUAUCAUCAUCACCAUCAUCACCAUCAUUACCAUCACCAUUACCAUCAUCAUAAUCACCAUCAUCAUUAUCAUCAUCACCAUCAUCACCAUCAUUACCAUCACCAUUACCAUCAUCAUAAUCACCACCAUCAUUAUCACCAUCACCAUCACCGUCAUCAUUAUCAUCAUUAUCAUCAUCAUUAUCACCAUCAUCACCAUCACCAUUAUCAUCAUUAUUUUCAUUAUCACCAUCGUCAUCAUCAUUAUCACCAUCAUUACCAUCACCAUUAUCAUAAUCACCAUCACCAUUAUCAUUAUAAUUUUCAUCAUCACCAUCAUCAUCACCACCAUCAUCACUACCAUCAACAUCUUCACCAUCUUCUUCAUCAUCAUCAUCACCAUCACCAUUAUCAUCAUCAUUAUAAUUACCACCAUCGUCAUCAUCAUUAUCACCAUCAUCACGAUCACCAUUAUCAUCAUCGCCAUUAUCAUUUUCAUCAUCAUUAUUAUCAUCACCAUCACCAUCAUCAUUAUCAUUAUCAACACCAUCACCGUCGUCAUUAUCAUCGUCACCAUCACCAUAAUCAUUAUCAUUAUCAUCAUCAAGAACACCAUCAUCACCAUCAUCAUUAUCAUCAUCACCAUCAUCACCAUCAUUACCAUUACCAUUACCAUCAUCAUUAUCAUCAUCACCAUCACCGUCAUCAUUAUCAUCAUUACCAUCAUCAUAAUCACCAUCAUCAUAAUCAUCAUCACCAUCAUCAUCAUCAUCAUCAUCACCAUCACCAUUAUCAUCAUUAUUUUCAUUAUCACCAUUGUCAUCAUCAUUAUCACCAUCAUUACCAUCACCAUUAUCAUAAUCACCAUCACCAUAAUCAUUAUAAUUUUCAUCAUCACCAUCAUCAUCAUCAUCAUCACUACCAUCAACAUCUUCACCAUCUUCUUCAUCAUCAUCAUCAUCAUCAUCAUCAUCAUCAUCACCAUCAUCGUCACAUCACCAUCACUACCAUCAACAUCUUCACAUCUUCAUCAUCAUUAUCAUCAUCAUCAUCAUCAUCAUCAUCACCAUCAUCACCAUCACCAUCAUUAUCACCAUCAUUACCAUCACCAUUAUCAUCAUCACCAUUAUCAUUAUAAUUUUCAUCAUCACCAUCACCAUCAUCAUCAUCAUCAUCAUCACCAUCAUCAUCACUACCAUCAACAUCUUCACCAUCUUCAUCAUCAUCAUCAUCAUCUUCAUCAUCAUUAA